Molecule: ribosomal RNA, 562 nt
Filed under: Hepatozoon canis
Lineage: Eukaryota; Apicomplexa; Hepatozoidae
Description: bacterial SSU rRNA
Rfam family: Eukaryotic small subunit ribosomal RNA
Source: RNAcentral
AAAUUGGUGAUUUAUAAUAACUUAGCAAAUCGCAAAGUGAAAACAGGCGAUAAAUCAUUCAAGUUUCUGACCUAUCAGCUUUCGACGGUAUGGUAUUGGCUUACCGUGGCAGUGACGGUUAACGGGGGAUUAGGGUUCGAUUCCGGAGAGGGAGCCUGAGAAACGGCUACCACAUCUAAGGAAGGCAGCAGGCGCGCAAAUUACCCAAUUCUAACAGUUUGAGAGAGGUAGUAACAAGAAAUAACAAUACAAGGCAGUUAAAAUGCUUUGUAAUUGGAAUGAUAGAAAUUUAAACCCUUUUUAAAGUAUCAAUUGGAGGGCAAGUCUGGUGCCAGCAGCCGCGGUAAUUCCAGCUCCAAUAGCGUAUAUUAAAAUUGUUGCAGUUAAAAAGCUCGUAGUUGAAGUUCUGCUGAAAGUAACCGGUCUGCUUUUAAUAAAAGUGGUAUCUUGGUAUGUAUUUAGCAAUGAUGUCCUUUGAAGUGUUUUUUACUUUAUUGUAAUAAAGCAUAUUCAGGACUUUUACUUUGAGAAAAUUAGAGUGGUUCUAGCAGGCUGACGCUUU